GAUGAACGCCAGCGGCAGGCCUAAUACAUGCAAGUCGAGGGGUAGAAGAGGCUUGCUUCUUUGAGACCGGCGCACGGGUGCGUAACGCGUAUGCAACCUACCUUCAUCUGGGGGAUAGCCCGGAGAAAUCCGGAUUAAUACCGCAUAAAAUCACAGGAUGGCAUUAUCCAAUGAUCAAACAUUUAUGGGAUGGAGAUGGGCAUGCGUGUCAUUAGCUAGUUGGCGGGGUAACGGCCCACCAAGGCGACGAUGACUAGGGGAUCUGAGAGGAUGGCCCCACAAACUGGCAAUGAGACACGGACCAGACUCCUACGGGAGGCAGCAGUAAGGAAUAUUGGUCAAUGGAGGCAACUCUGAACCAGCCAUGCCGCGUGCAGGAAGACUGCCCUAUGGGUUGUAAACUGCUUUUAUUCGGGAAUAAACCUUAUUACGUGUAAUAAGCUGAAUGUACCGAAGGAAUAAGGAUCGGCUAACUCCGUGCCAGCAGCCGCCGUAA
This 496-nucleotide ribosomal RNA is filed under the name uncultured bacterium. Its description in RNAcentral is "partial 16S ribosomal RNA". It matches the Rfam family "Bacterial small subunit ribosomal RNA", at positions 28 to 523 of the family's 1533-position model. The record is from RNAcentral.